UUAGAACGGAUUACUUCGGUUUGAAGUUCUUUAUGACUGAGUGGCGGACGGGUGAGUAACGCGUGGGUAACCUGCCUUGUACUGGGGGAUAGCAGCUGGUAACGGCUGGUAAUACCGCAUAAGCGCACAAUGUUGCAUGACAUGGUGUGAAAAACUCCGGUGGUAUAAGAUGGACCCGCGUCUGAUUAGCUAGUUGGUGAGAUAACAGCCCACCAAGGCGACGAUCAGUAGCCGACCUGAGAGGGUGACCGGCCACAUUGGGACUGAGACACGGCCCAGACUCCUACGGGAGGCAGCAGUGGGGAAUAUUGCACAAUGGAGGAAACUCUGAUGCAGCGACGCCGCGUGAGUGAAGAAGUAAUUCGUUAUGUAAAGCUCUAUCAGCAGGGAAGAUAGUGACGGUACCUGACUAAGAAGCUCCGGCUAAAUACGUGCCAGCAGCCGCGGUAAUACGUAUGGAGCAAGCGUUAUCCGGAUUUACUGGGUGUAAAGGGAGUGUAGGUGGCCAUGCAAGUCAGAAGUGAAAAUCCGGGGCUCAACCCCGGAACUGCUUUUGAAACUGUAAGGCUGGAGUGCAGGAGGGGUGAGUGGAAUUCCUAGUGUAGCGGUGAAAUGCGUAGAUAUUAGGAGGAACACCAGUGGCGAAGGCGGCUCACUGGACUGUAACUGACACUGAGGCUCGAAAGCGUGNGGAGCAAACAGGAUUAGAUACCCUGGUAGUNCACGCCGU
RNAcentral lists this ribosomal RNA (730 nucleotides) under uncultured bacterium. RNAcentral describes it as "bacterial SSU rRNA". It matches the Rfam family "Bacterial small subunit ribosomal RNA", at positions 64 to 803 of the family's 1533-position model. The record is from RNAcentral.